RNAcentral lists this ribosomal RNA (253 nucleotides) under uncultured bacterium. RNAcentral's name for it is "partial 16S ribosomal RNA". It matches the Rfam family "Bacterial small subunit ribosomal RNA", at positions 524 to 776 of the family's 1533-position model. The record is from RNAcentral.
UACGGGGGGGGCAAGCGUUGUUCGGAAUUACUGGGCGUAAAGGGUUUGUAGGUGGCCAACUAAGUCAGACGUGAAAUCCCUCAGCUUAACUGGGGAACUGCGUCUGAUACUGGUUGGCUUGAGUGCAGGAGAGGAAUGCGGAAUUCCAGGUGUAGCGGUGAAAUGCGUAGAGAUAUGGAGGAACACCAGUGGCGAAGGCGACUUUCUGGUCUGUAACUGACACUGAGGCGCGAAAGCGUGGGGAGCAAACAGG